UACGAAGGGGGCUAGCGUUGCUCGGAAUCACUGGGCGUAAAGGGUUCGUAGGUGGCCCGCUAAGUCAGACGUGAAAUCCCUCAGCUCAACUGGGGAACUGCGUCUGAGACUGGCGGGCUUGAGUGCAGGAGAGGAACGCGGAAUUCCAGGUGUAGCGGUGAAAUGCGUAGAUAUCUGGAGGAACACCGGUGGCGAAGGCGGCGUUCUGGACUGUUACUGACACUGAGGAACGAAAGCCAGGGGAGCAAACGGG
This 253-nucleotide ribosomal RNA is filed under the name uncultured bacterium. Its description in RNAcentral is "partial 16S ribosomal RNA". It matches the Rfam family "Bacterial small subunit ribosomal RNA", at positions 524 to 776 of the family's 1533-position model. The record is from RNAcentral.